GUGGCGUCCAGAGCAUUAACGAGCAGCCGCCGCCUCCUCCUCCGGCUCAUUCACCUCCAUCUGCCUGGAUCUGAUUACCCACAAUCCCUGGAUGUGAGAAGCUUCCUGCCUCGCCUCAAAGUGCCAGCCUGCGAUUUAUAGUCCUCCUUCUUCUUCUUCUUCACACCACAGGCUGCACUGAGAGCUGUGGUGUUUCAGGGGCCAAGGGACGCGCGUGUGCCAGCGUCCAUUGAGAAGCCGAGCACGUAGCGUUAAAGUGAAAGCAGCCGAGAACCUGACGCUGGGGCCGCGAACGGGCAAAGACGGAGGCCUGGAACCCUGGAGCUCAGCUGUGACGGAGGUGACGCGCUGACGAGCUGGAGGCAGAACCCAGCUUCUGUGGUAAACUCACAAACCAACGGUCCUAGAAAAGCUCCACAGAUCAGCCUCCCCAGGAGCAAACUGAGCUGAGGAGGCCUCGCGUGAAGCCACUCUGAGGCUGCGACAGGUUUCUGUGAACAGAACACCGCCGUUGUGCAGCUCCAACCACGACAAUGCGACUGGUUUGUGUUUACGGCCGCUGUGUAAACCGUGGACUGGUUCCUCCCACUGCACAACAUCCUGCCACACAAAAGAGCCUGUGUCCUGCAGACGGACCGAGUGGGACACACCGGAGCUCCGCUUGGGUCCACGUGGGUCCAUCCAGAUCCAUGGAGCAGAAAGCGGGACGUGGCCGCACCACAACAACGCAGGAGUCAGUGCGAAGCACGUUCAGCGUGAUUCAAGUCAGAGUGGCUUAGCUUUAACGAGGCGCCAUGUGCGUCUCGUUAUCCACGCUGCCAGCGAAGCAGCCUGUAAAAUAAUGGCAGCUAAUUGUGAGAAAACUGCAACACGAGUUAAACCGGCCACCUACACCUCAAGCUGCCGCACUAAUGGAAGGUAAAAAUAGGCUUUUGCAGACGGCACGGAAGCAAACGUGUGGUGAAACAAUGGAGUGGAUGUGAAAGUGGUCCGAGGAAGGAUGUGAGGACAUGACGGAACAGGAGCUGCAGCCAGAGGUGAAAAACCUGAACCUCAUCAAAGGGUUUGGGCUCGAAAGGACCACAGAGGUUUAUUCAAAGAGCCAGUUACUCGAUUCGAUUGAAGCUCGACGCUGCAGCAGUGAAGCAAAGGCCACGCACCUGAUGAGCACGCACUGGUUCUGCAGCCUCCUCCACAGCGAGCGGUAGCACUCGUUGGCCACGGCGAAGAUGUGCGGCGCGGCCUCUCCCAGGUGCCGGCGGCUGUACAGCUCCACGGCCGGCCGCUCGUACAGGCCGGGCAGCGGCUGGUAGGGGUUGACGGCCGCCAGGAUGGAGCCGAUGUACGUCUGCGGGCGGGAACACACACGUUACACACUCAUCGUGAAACCGGGCCUCGCGGCCGCCGUCGCGUUCCAGCAGAGGCCGAACAAACGCAGCGGCUGAAACAGAAGCCGGUGGCGGCGGCGGCGGAGGCCUCGCAGCAGCUUCAGAGCUAAUGGCAGCUAAUGCAUGAAUGGGGGCAUCAGCAUGUGGCAGCGACUCCAGCCUGCUGCUCAUAAAGGGAGCAGCAGCGCCGGCUCCGGGUCGUCACCAAAGAGCAGCACGUCUAAUGAAAGGCUUUGGUCUGUAAUGAUAAACACUCUGAACCUGCAGCUUCUCCAGCGUCUCCUGACUCGCUGACCUACAUUCAUGCCACAUGCAAAUCCACGUGAACGGCAGUUGAGGUGACGUCACUUUCAGGCUCCAGACUUUUCUUCCUGUGCAAAUGAGCGUCCACAGAGCAGAACCGGCGUCCGGGCUCGGACCUGUGAACAGCCGGGCUCGUCUCAUGUGAGGGAGUCGAGCCUCCACGGUUUAAACUGUUUACAGAGGCUCCUCAUCCGCCUGCCUCAUUCUAAGUAGUGUUAAUGUGUGGCCUCAUCACUGAGCUCUUGUUUAGUACGUAAUAAACAUGUUAACUGGAA
Molecule: long non-coding RNA, 1966 nt
Organism: Betta splendens (Siamese fighting fish)
Lineage: Eukaryota; Metazoa; Chordata; Actinopteri; Anabantiformes; Osphronemidae
Exons: 2
Source: RefSeq, a predicted model, not a curated record